Molecule: long non-coding RNA, 710 nt
Organism: Apis dorsata (giant honeybee)
Lineage: Eukaryota; Metazoa; Arthropoda; Insecta; Hymenoptera; Apidae
Exons: 3
Source: RefSeq, a predicted model, not a curated record
CUCAAAGAUCCGUCACACGUUGCGCGUAUGGGCGAUUAGGUUUCGUGUAAAAAAGAAUCGAUCGAUGCGCCACCAUCCGUGCAAAGCGAAUACUAAGGGAAGAAGAAGAAGGAGAAGGAGAAGGAGAAGGGACGAAGUCCCGGUUCCCUCGUCACGGAAAUCAGAUAUCGGAUGGCGACGCGGCUUCCUCCUCCUCGUUUCCCCCUUAUUACUAUUAUUAUUAUUAUAAUACCGGUGCGCGUGUGGUGCAACCCUUUUGUCGAGGCGUGACAGGUGCGAGCGCUACGAGUGUGACGUAACGAGGUACCGUUAUAGGAGCGCGAUGCACACGCACGCAUCGAGCGAGAAACCCCGAGUAAGAAUGCGAGGCGAGCGAGGCGGCGCGGAACGGAAUGGAACGGAACGGGACGGGACGGAACGGAAUGGGACGGGACGGAACGGAACGAGGAACGGUCGCCGCGAAAUUCUGUCCUCCCCGAGUGUUUGUGAAAGUGACAUGGAGGAAAGGAUAUGUGGAACGGCAGGAAGCAGAAAGCGGGAAAUUAAGGCAAACGCCGUCGCAACGCGGCGGAAAAUUGAUCUCACGUGUGGACACGAGCAACGAGUUCCAACUUUCACGAAUAUUCGUCCCGCUCGUUGAAAGCGGUUCGAAAUCCGGAUUCGACGAAAAGCCUUUCGAUGCUUGCUUCUACCCCGUGGAAAUGUGCACG